AGGAAAACUAGAUGGCGCUGCCGUUCCUCUGGAUUGAGUAUGCUAGUUACGUGGAAGCAUGAAUUUCAUGGAUGGUUCAAGUUAAAUCAGUGUUAGCAGUGUUUCUUAAGUUUGCUGUGUUUUAAAGGAUUGUCCGUCUUAAAAUCAACGCCAACAGACUUUCCUUUGUUAUCAGCUAAUCGAACUGCAGACCCUGAGAAUACCUACCAUCAAAUGGAAUAGCAUGAUUAUUUAUACAAUGAUCAUUUCCAUGAAGCCAAAUGCCUGUGGGUUCUGACGCUGAAGAUCUACAAUGACCAAAAUUCCUUAGAAUGUCUUCAUGUAUUCAUCUACUAUGUUUUGCUGUCUGUUAACCAACACCAACCCAUUCAGCCAGUAUUCGCAGCUUGUCAACUUAGCCAACAAUCAACCAUCAGUAUUGAAUGCAUCCACUCCUAACACCUUCACUACUCAAACAACUAUCUUCUGUAGACUUCAACACCCGAUCAAGAUCUUUUUAAAACUUUGUCAUCGGAUCCCAUUUCGACCAGUGCAGCAGUCUCCGUGAUCGUAACCGGUCAACAUGCAUAGACUUAAAUGCCGUCGCCUCAUUGUGAGCUGCCAAUUAUUCAUCAUCGUUUCCAACCAAAAAUCGCCGUUCUAAUACAAAUCAUCCAGCCAUGAGUCGCUACAGAAUUUACCACGUGACGUCUGCUUUGACUGAUACAUGGCAGCGUGGAAGAUUCUUGGACUAAAAAAAACUCGUGGCGGGGGCGUACAGAGCAACGUGGAUCGUCAAAUUUUUUCUGUGGUAUUGUUUGUUUUGUUUUUUGUUGUUGCUAGUUAACCCGUUGGCUGCCACCCAUUUGCUCCCCUUUUUUUUUGUAGCUGUAGGGACCGGGCGCGCUGCUCUGCCCUAUGGGGUGGAGCAGUUGCAAUGCCCUUGCCCGCCGCAAGGCGGUUAGGCAAUGCACCAUUAGGGACUUCUCUUUGUUCGAUGCAGUGAUGGUUACCUGAGGGUGUGCAUUCCCUGUAAAGGUUUCCAUCACUGUGUCAGCCCGGACUUGUCUUCGGACAAGUUCCAUCAAUCGUGGAUCCUUCAGACAACGAUGCGUAGUGAGUAGAAAAAAACAACCUACGGGUUGUAUGGCGUGGCAGCCAACGGGUUAACUAAUUGUGUAUGUGUAUGCAUGUUUGUAGUUAUGUAUGUAU
This 1191-nucleotide long non-coding RNA is filed under the name Daphnia magna. RNAcentral's name for it is "uncharacterized LOC116929298, transcript variant X6". The record is from RNAcentral. Lineage: Eukaryota; Metazoa; Arthropoda; Branchiopoda; Diplostraca; Daphniidae.